ACUAGGAAUUUUGCGCAAUGGGGGCAACCCUGACGCAGCGACACAGCGUGGAGGAGGAAGGUCUUCGGAUUGUAAACUCCUUUUAUAUGGGAAGAAUAGAUGACUGUACCAUAUGAAUAAGCACCUGCUAACUACGUGCCAGAAGCAUCGGUGAUGAGUAGGGUGCGAACGUUAUCCGGAUUUAUUGGGCGUAAAGAGAUGCGUAGGCGUUUCAGUUAGUCUUUCGUUAAAAGUCACGGCUUAACCGUGAAGAUGCGUUGGAUACUGCUGAAAUUGAGACAUGAAGGGGUGAACGGAACUCCAAGUGGAGCGGUGAAAUGCGUUGAUAUUUGGAAGAACAUCAGAGGCGAAGGCGGUUCACUGGUCAUUGUCUGACGCUGAGAUGCGAAAGCCAGGGUAGCGAACGGGAUUAGAAACCCCGGUAGUCC
This 428-nucleotide ribosomal RNA is filed under the name uncultured bacterium. RNAcentral's name for it is "partial 16S ribosomal RNA". It matches the Rfam family "Bacterial small subunit ribosomal RNA", at positions 354 to 796 of the family's 1533-position model. The record is from RNAcentral.